GUAGGUGAACCUGCGGAAGGAUCAUUUCUGAACUAAGGAGGAUUGGAAAAGGGAAAGUGGCUUUAUUGCUGCAAUCUUUUUUUCUUUCUUUCCUUAUCAAAGAGAGUGUGUGGUAUAAAUGAAAAGGAAUAAUUGAAAAUGGAAAUUGAAUGGGGUUUCUCGUUUCUUUUCCAACUUUAGUUUUUCUAAUCUACUUUUAUAAACCAAAACAAGUUACUUUUUGUUCAAAACAAAACGUCUUUGGCUUCUUUAUUUUUUGAUUGAUUUAACAUUUUAAAUGUUUUAUUAUGAAAAAAAAGAGAGUUGACAAAAACACAAAAAACGACAUACAACUGUCAACGGUGGAUCUCUUGGUUCUG
This 359-nucleotide unclassified non-coding RNA is filed under the name rhizosphere metagenome. RNAcentral describes it as "partial ribosomal RNA internal transcribed spacer region". The record is from RNAcentral.